This 369-nucleotide ribosomal RNA is filed under the name Clostridioides difficile. RNAcentral describes it as "partial 23S ribosomal RNA". It matches the Rfam family "Bacterial large subunit ribosomal RNA", at positions 1265 to 1632 of the family's 2925-position model. The record is from RNAcentral. Lineage: Bacteria; Bacillati; Bacillota; Clostridia; Peptostreptococcales; Peptostreptococcaceae.
AAGGACAUGUGGACAGUAUGGGAGUGAGAAUGUUGGCAUGAGUAGCGAGAUGUGGGUGAGAAUCCCACAGGCCGUAAACCCAAGGUUUCCAGGGGAAGGUUCGUCCGCCCUGGGUUAGUCGGGACCUAAGCUGAGGCCGAAAGGCGUAGGUGAUGGACAACAGGUUGAUAUUCCUGUACUACCGAUAACCGGUUGAGAGAAGGGAUGACACAGUAGGAUAAGCUAAGCACACUGUUGGUUAUGUGUGCCCAAGCAUUGAGGCAGUCAAAGUAGGCAAAUCCGCUUUGAUAAUGCUGGGAUGUGAUGGGGAGCGAAAUUUAGUAGCGAAGUAGCUGAUUUCACACUGUCAAGAAAAGUCUCUAUCGAGGU